AUACCGCGUGUGUGAAGAAGGCCUUCGGGUUGUAAAGCACUCUAAGCAGGGAGAAAAAGUUAUAGGUUAAUACCCUAUGACCUUGAUGUUACCUGCAGAAUAAGCACCGGCUAAUUCCGUGCCAGCAGCCGCGGUAAUACGGAAGGUGCAAGCGUUAAUCGGAAUUACUGGGCGUAAAGCGCGCGUAGGUGGUUUGUUAAGUUGGAUGUGAAAGCCCUGGGCUCAACCUAGGAACUGCAUCCAAAACUAACUCACUAGAGUACGAUAGAGGGAGGUAGAAUUCAUAGUGUAGCGGUGGAAUGCGUAGAUAUUAUGAAGAAUACCAGUGGCGAAGGCGGCCUCCUGGAUCUGUACUGACACUGAGGUGCGAAAGCGUGGGUAGCGAACAGGAUUAGAUACCCUGGUAGUCCACGCCGUAAACGAUGACAACUAGCUGUUGGGAGACUAUGUCUUUCAGUGGCGCAGCUAACGCUUUAAGUUGUCCGCCUGGGGAGUACGGCCGCAAGGCUAAAACUCAAAUGAAUUGACGGGGACCCGCACAAGCGGUGGAGCAUGUGGUUUAAUUCGAUGCAACGCGAAAAACCUUACCUACUCUUGACAUACUUGGAGGCUCUUGUAAUGAGAGCGUGCCUUUUGGAACCAAGAUACAGGUGCUGCAUGGCUGUCGUCAGCUCGUGUCGUGAGAUGUUCCGUUAAGUCGGAUAACGAGCGCAACCCUUACCCUUAUUUGCCAGCGAUUCGGUCGGGAACUAUAAGGGGACUGCCGGUGAUAAACCGGAGGAAGGUGAGGACGACGUCAAGUCAUCAUGGCCCUUACGAGUAGGGCUACACACGUGCUACAAUGGAGAAUACAGACGGACGCUAAGCCGCGAGGUGGUGCUAAUCCUAAAAAGCUCUUCGUAGUCCGGAUUGGAGUCUGCAACUCGACUCCAUGAAGUCGGAAUCGCUAGUA
Molecule: ribosomal RNA, 952 nt
Filed under: uncultured SAR86 cluster bacterium
Lineage: Bacteria; Pseudomonadati; Pseudomonadota; Gammaproteobacteria
Description: bacterial SSU rRNA
Rfam family: Bacterial small subunit ribosomal RNA
Source: RNAcentral